UACGUAGGGGGCAAGCGUUGUCCGGAAUCAUUGGGCGUAAAGCGCGCGUAGGUGGCCACAUAAGUCCGUUGUGAAAGUCAAAGGCUCAACCUUUGAACGCCGAUGGAUACUGUGUGGCUAGAGUACGGAAGAGGCGAGUGGAAUUCCUGGUGUAGCGGUGGAAUGCGCAGAUAUCAGGAGGAACACCAAUAGCGAAGGCAGCUCGCUGGGACGUUACUGACACUGAGGCGCGAAAGCGUGGGGAGCGAACAGG
RNAcentral lists this ribosomal RNA (253 nucleotides) under uncultured bacterium. RNAcentral's name for it is "partial 16S ribosomal RNA". It matches the Rfam family "Bacterial small subunit ribosomal RNA", at positions 524 to 776 of the family's 1533-position model. The record is from RNAcentral.